RNAcentral lists this ribosomal RNA (781 nucleotides) under uncultured marine eukaryote. RNAcentral's name for it is "SSU rRNA". It matches the Rfam family "Eukaryotic small subunit ribosomal RNA", at positions 161 to 944 of the family's 1831-position model. The record is from RNAcentral.
GAGCUAAUACAUGCUAACACGCUCAACCUUACGGGAGAGGUGCUUUUAUUAGAUCAAAACCAAACGGCUUCGGCUGUACUCUUGGUGACUCUGAAUAACUUUGGGCUGAUCGCAUAGCCUUGCGCUGGCGACAUAUCCUUCGAAGGUGUGCCCUAUCAACUGUCGACUGUGGCAUAGACGCCCACAGUGGUUUUGACGGGUAACGGGGAAUCAGGGUUCGAUUCCGGAGAGGGAGCCUUAAAAACGGCUACCACAUCUAAGGAGGGCAGCAGGCACGCAAAUUACCCAAUGACCGAAGGUCGUGGUAGUGACGAAAAAUAACGAUAGCGGACUCUUCCGAGGCCCGCUAAUUGGAAUGAGUACACUUUAAAACCGUCCCCGAGGAUCUAUUGGAGGGCAAGUCUGGUGCCAGCAGCCGCGGUAAUUCCAGCUCCAAUAGCGUAUAUUAAAGUUGUUGUGGUUAAAAAGCUCGUAGUUGGAUCUCAACGGCCUUGGAGCGGUUAUCAUGCUUGAUAGACUGCUCUGUAGGCCGUGCUUUUGCUGGAGGUUUAGGGAGCUCUUAAUCGAGUGUCUCUGGAUGCCAGCAGGUUUACUUUGAAAAAAUUAGAGUGCUCAAAGCAGGCUGUUACGCCUGAAUAUUCGUGCAUGGAAUAAUAGAAUAGGAUGUCGAUCCUAUUUUGUUGGUUUUCGGGACUCGACAUAAUGAUUAAUAGGGACAGUCGGGGGCAUUUGUAUUCAAACGACAGAGUGAAAUUCUUGGACCGUUUGAAGACUAACUACA